This 743-nucleotide ribosomal RNA is filed under the name Geotrichum candidum. RNAcentral's name for it is "SSU rRNA". It matches the Rfam family "Eukaryotic small subunit ribosomal RNA", at positions 829 to 1594 of the family's 1831-position model. The record is from RNAcentral. Lineage: Eukaryota; Fungi; Ascomycota; Dipodascomycetes; Dipodascales; Dipodascaceae.
CCCCAUGAUCUGGUACAUGGCUGCUGGACCGUCGUAAUGAUUAAUAGGGACGGUCGGGGGCAUCAGUAUUCAGUUGUCAGAGGUGAAAUUCUUGGAUUUACUGAAGACUAACUACUGCGAAAGCAUUUGCCAAGGACGUUUUCAUUAAUCAAGAACGAAAGUUAGGGGAUCGAAGACGAUCAGAUACCGUCGUAGUCUUAACCGUAAACUAUGCCGACUAGGGAUCGGAGGGCGUUACAAUAACCUUUCCGGCACCUUACGAGAAAUCAAAGUUUUUGGGUUCUGGGGGGAGUAUGGUUGCAAGGCUGAAACUUAAAGGAAUUGACGGAAGGGCACCACCAGGAGUGGAGCCUGCGGCUUAAUUUGACUCAACACGGGGAAACUCACCAGGUCCAGACACAAUAAGGAUUGACAGAUUGAGAGCUCUUUCAUGAUUUUGUGGGUGGUGGUGCAUGGCCGUUCUUAGUUGGUGGAGUGAUUUGUCUGCUUAAUUGCGAUAACGAACGAGACCUUAACCUGCUAAAUAGCUGUAACAAUAGAUUAUUGUUUUGACAGCUUCUUAGAGGGACUAUCGAUUUUCAAGUCGAAGGAAGUUUGAGGCAAUAACAGGUCUGUGAUGCCCUUAGACGUUCUGGGCCGCACGCGCGCUACACUGACGGAGCCAGCGAGUCUAACCUGUGCCGAGAGGUAUGGGUAAUCUUGUGAAACUCCGUCGUGCUGGGGAUAGACAAUUUGCAAAUAAC